RNAcentral lists this ribosomal RNA (461 nucleotides) under Clostridioides difficile. RNAcentral's name for it is "partial 23S ribosomal RNA". It matches the Rfam family "Bacterial large subunit ribosomal RNA", at positions 1 to 464 of the family's 2925-position model. The record is from RNAcentral. Lineage: Bacteria; Bacillati; Bacillota; Clostridia; Peptostreptococcales; Peptostreptococcaceae.
GGUCAAGUUAUUAAGGGUGCAGGGCGGAUGCCUUGGCACUAGGAGCCGAUGAAGGACGUGAUAAGCUGCGAUAAGCUUCGGGGAGUUGCACGUAAACUUUGAUCCGAAGAUUUCCGAAUGAGGAAACUCACUUAGAGUAAUGUCUAAGUAUCAUUAAGUGAAUACAUAGCUUAAUGAGGGGAACUCAGGGAACUGAAACAUCUAAGUACCUGAAGGAAGAGAAAGAAAUUCGAUUCCGUAAGUAGCGGCGAGCGAACGCGGAUUAGCCCAAACCAAUAAAGUUUUCUUUAUUGGGGUUGCGGACAUAUCAUAACGAAGAGGUAUCGUAAUUGAAGAGGUUUGGAAAGACCCACCACAGAAGGUAAUAGUCCUGUAUGUUAAACGAGAAGACUUUAGAUAUGAUCCAGAGUACCACGGGACACGUGAAACCCUGUGGGAAGCAGGAGGGACCACCCUCCAAG